Molecule: ribosomal RNA, 497 nt
Filed under: uncultured bacterium
Lineage: Bacteria
Description: partial 16S ribosomal RNA
Rfam family: Bacterial small subunit ribosomal RNA
Source: RNAcentral
GAUGAACGCUGGCGGCGUGCCUAAUACAUGCGAGUCGAGCGAACAGACGAGGAGCUUGCUCCUCUGACGUUAGCGGCGGACGGGUGAGUAACACGUGGAUAACCUACCUAUAAGACUGGGAUAACUUCGGGAAACCGGAGCUAAUACCGGAUAAUAUAUUGAACCGCAUGGUUCAAUAGUGAAAGACGGUUUUGCUGUCACUUAUAGCUGGAUCCGCGCCGCAUUAGCUAGUUGGUAAGGUAACGGCUUACCAAGGCAACGAUGCGUAGCCGACCUGAGAGGGUGAUCGGCCACACUGGAACUGAGACACGGUCCAGACUCCUACGGGAGGCAGCAGUAGGGAAUCUUCCGCAAUGGGCGAAAGCCUGACGGAGCAACGCCGCGUGAGUGAUGAAGGUCUUCGGAUCGUAAAACUCUGUUAUUAGGGAAGAACAAAUGUGUAAGUAACUAUGCACGUCUUGACGGUACCUAAUCAGAAAGCCACGGCUAACUACGUG